Molecule: ribosomal RNA, 767 nt
Filed under: uncultured bacterium
Lineage: Bacteria
Description: bacterial SSU rRNA
Rfam family: Bacterial small subunit ribosomal RNA
Source: RNAcentral
UUUGAUCCUGGCUCAGAUUGAACGCUGGCGGCAGGCUUAACACAUGCAAGUCGAACGAUGAUUAUCUAGCUUGCUAGAUAUGAUUAGUKGCGGACGGGUGAGUAACAUUUAGGAAUCUGCCUAGUAGUGGGGGAUAGCUCGGGGAAACUCGAAUUAAUACCGCAUACGACCUACGGGUGAAAGGGGGCGCAAGCUCUUGCUAUUAGAUGAGCCUAAAUCAGAUUAGCUAGUUGGUGGGGUAAAGGCCCACCAAGGCGACGAUCUGUAACUGGUCUGAGAGGAUGAUCAGUCACACCGGAACUGAGACACGGUCCGGACUCCUACGGGAGGCAGCAGUGGGGAAUAUUGGACAAUGGGGGCAACCCUGAUCCAGCCAUGCCGCGUGUGUGAAGAAGGCCUUUUGGUUGUAAAGCACUUUAAGCAGGGAGGAGAGGCUAAUGGUUAAUACCCAUUAGAUUAGACGUUACCUGCAGAAUAAGCACCGGCUAACUCUGUGCCAGCAGCCGCGGUAAUACAGAGGGUGCGAGCGUUAAUCGGAAUUACUGGGCGUAAAGCGAGUGUAGGUGGCUCAUUAAGUCACAUGUGAAAUCCCCGGGCUUAACCUGGGAACUGCAUGUGAUACUGGUGUUGCUAGAAUAUGUGAGAGGGAAGUAGAAUUCCAGGUGUAGCGGUGAAAUGCGUAGAGAUCUGGAGGAAUACCGAUGGCGAAGGCAGCUUCCUGGCAUAAUAUUGACACUGAGAUUCGAAAGCGUGGGUAGCAAACAGGA